Dermatophagoides farinae (American house dust mite) is the source of this 5619-nucleotide non-coding RNA. The record is from RefSeq and is a predicted model, not a curated record. NCBI's taxonomy places the organism in Eukaryota, Metazoa, Arthropoda, Arachnida, Sarcoptiformes, Pyroglyphidae.
GAUCAUAGAUCAAUCAAAAAAAAAGAUGAUGAUGAUGGUAUGUUGUUUUUUUUUACAAAGAACGUUCUGGAUCAUAAUGUUGACCUCAAUGUUAUAUAUUUUUAUGACCUUUGUGUUGUAUAAAGGUAUCAAUCAGCCAGUCUUGAAUACUAUGAUGAUCAUAAUAACAAAUCUUAUAUGCCGCGGUACUUUUCGUCCACCAUUGAUUUUGAUCUUAUGGCCAUGAUCUUUUUCAAAUAACUCACUCAUUCAUUCACUCACUCAGUCACUCACUGGUUAAAUAUCGAAUCAGAUAAUGAUGAUGAUGGUCUUCUUAUCUAAAUGAUGAUUUUAUGCUUAUUAUAUAUCGACCAAACAACAGGAAAAAAAAGACAUGGCUAAAUGGAUAAAAAUUUACUCGAUAUCGAUUUCGGAAUGGAUCGUUUGACAAUGAAUGAUAAUGAUGGUGAUGUCAACAGUUAUAGCUAUCAUUAUAAUGAAGUGGAUAAUGACGUUCUUGUUGCUGCUGCUGCUGCUGCUGAUGAUGAUGAUGAUGAUGAAAAACAAUCGAAUGGAUUAUAAAAGAAAGCAAUUUAAUGGCAACAUUUGCUCUGGUGCCCAUUACAAUCACCGUUAUCAAAUUACGUGAUAUUAUUGUUAAUAAUGAUAGUAAUAUUCUUACAUCUGAUCAAGAAUUUAUGAAUACAGUUAAAUUUAUAGAGGAAAAAUUGCUCAUCAAUUCAAAUGAUUAUGAAGCCAAAAUAAGUCAUCGUUAUUAUGAUGAAUUCAUUGUCAAAAUGAACAUUGAUUUCUACAUUAAUCCCGAUCCAAUAAAUCAAUCAUUCAUGUUGGAUUUGAUCUCAAGAUUUCGUUCGGUACAAAUUUUUCAAACAAAUUUUCGAAUCGUAAUGGAAUUUCCUCAUAAUUCUCUUCGUCAUCUAAUAAAAGAAUCGCCAAUUGAUGAAAUGGAUGAUUAUUCCGCAUCAAUGAAUUCAUUCUCCAUUGGAUCGGUUAUUAAUCUUUGCUAUUUUACUAGUCGAUUUAAUGCCAUUCCAUCGCAAUAUCAUCCACUGAAAAUGAUAUGGAAUUUUCAAAAAAAUUUAAUAAUUUUCUAUUUCCAUAUCCAAAAUAAUCGAACAUCCCAAAGAUAUAAAAUAGAAAUAUCAUUUUCAUCGAUUCAAUUCAUAUUGCUCGAGAUCAAUCAGUCAAUCAAUACACCAUGCGGUAUUGGUGUUUGUUUCGAAUUAAAUUCGGCUCCUUUAUUGUUCACAGAAAAAAUGUGUCGAAAUCGAAUAAAAUGGAUUCGUACCAAAGAUUUAAGCAAUAAUGUUGAUUCUAAUUUAAUUGGUUAUGCACAUGGAUAUCGUAUCACGAUAGAUGAUUUGAAUAUCAUAAAAACUACAAUCAAAUUAAGCUACCUGUGUAAAGAACGAACUCGAACUUUUGCUUUUUACAUAGGCAGAAUAAAUCAAAUCAUGCUAAAUAAUAGUCGAUGGACAAUGGAUCGAUUAUGGAACAAUAUUGAUCAAACUUUUGCCAAAAGUUUUGCCAGAAAUUAUGCUUGCCGUGUAAUUUUGAGAUCAUAUCGUAUUGUCGAUCGAGUUAUAUGUCGGCACGGAAUAUUGAAUGAAGAUAAUGUGAAGAAUUUUCUCGAAAAUAUCAAACAAUUAGAGUCGGAUUUGUAUUUCGAAAAUUGUCUAUAUCAAUUGGAUGUAAAAUCAAACAAUCCAGUUAUCGAUUUCAUUGCUGAAUUCAAUCGUAUCAUUCAGACUGUCGACACAAAUCGACCACAAGGAAUUAGUAUUUUUGGUAGUAAUGGCAAAAAAAAAUUGCUUGGACCAGAUCAAGAUCAUUAUAUUAUUAUGCGUCGAGCUAUCAUGACACCAACUCGAUUACAAUUUUUUCGUCCUAUCGCCUGUUUACGUUCACGAUUCUCAAAUAUUGCCAAUCUAGACUAUGCUUUACGAUUAACAUUGUCUGAAGAUAAUAAUCGUUUUUUGAACGGACCAUCCAGCAGCAGUGAAUUCAUUAAAGAAUGCAUUAUGCCACGAUUAUUGGCAGGCAUAAGAAUAGCAGAUCGUCAUUUUGAAUUUCUUGGUUCAUCAUCAAGUCAAAUGCGUGAAUCUGGUAUCGUAUUCUAUGCUCGUGAUACUGACAAUCGAACGGCCGAAUCGAUUCGUCAAAUAGUGGGUGAUCUAUCGAUUUUCAAACGAAAAGUAGCCAAAUACAUUGCACGAUUUGGAUUGAUAUUUUCACAAUCAAUUGCUUAUUAUCAAUGCGAUCAAUCAGUUGAUAUAUAUCGAUCAGCUGAUCUUACGAAUGGACCGUUUAUAUUCUCGGACGGUGGUGGUAUCAUAUCGAAUAGUUUGGCACGGAAAAUUACACCAUUAUUGAAUACACCACCAGAUUAUUUUCCAUCUGCAUUUCAAAUCCGUUAUGGUGGCUGCAAAGGAAUGCUUGUCCGUUAUGAAUCGAGUGAUGACAAUGAUAUGAUAAUGUUUCGUGAAUCAAUGAUCAAAUUUCAAUCGAAUGAUUUUUCAUUGGGUAUAUUGAAAUUUUCAGCACCAAGAUCUGUCUACCUGAAUCGGCCAUUAUUACAGAUUCUUUAUGAACAACAAGUACCGGCUCAUGUUUUCUACAACAUCAUCACCCAAUCGACAGAAUCAUUGGCGCAUUCAUUGAUGUUUGAAGCUAAUGCAUAUGAAUUAAUGAAUAUGUAUUCACAACGAAAUCUUAAUUACAACAAACUUCAUAAAGCCGGUUAUUCCUUCUUAAACGAACCUUUUCUUCGUCGAAUCCUGAAUCAUUUAUUAUUCUAUCGACUAAAUGAACUGAAAAGUAAAGCUCGAAUCAAAGUACCAUCAUCACAUGGUCGAACUGCAUUCGGUGUAAUAGAUGAAAUGAAUCAAUUGAAUCCUGGCGAAGUGUUUUUCCAAUAUAGUCAAUUGAAUGAUGUUGAUGGUCUACCUACUGGUGAAACAAUUAUUCUCGAUAAUCAAGAAGUGAUGGUCACCAAAUUUCCUUGUCUUUCAUUGGGUGAUGUGCGAAAAUUUAAGGCUAUCAACGUUAAAGGUUUGGAACAUGUCAAAGAUUGUCUCGUUUUUCCAGCAAAAGGACACAGACCUCAUACCGAUGAGAUGGGUGGUUCAGAUCUUGAUGGUGAUGAGUAUGCCAUCUUUUGGAAGACAGACCUAAUAUUUCCUGGAUCAAAUUAUCAUCCAAUGGAUUUUCCAUCACAAACAUCACCAGAAUCCGAUCGAGAUAUUGUUAUUGAUGAUAUUGUCAAAUUUUACUGUGAUUUUCUUGUCGAUAACAAUAUUGGUUUGGUCGCCAACUCACAUCUAAUGUUUUCAGAUUUCCAUCCUGAAGGUCUUUCUUCGUGCGAAUGUCUAGAUUUGGCUGCUAAAUACAGUGUAUCGUUAGAUUUCCAGAAAAAUGGUGUUAAUGCCAAAGUUGAAAACAAAUACAUACCGGAUUCGAAUUGGAUUCGUCCAGAUUUUAUGUCGAAACGUAAUGGUGAAUCUGAUGUUUAUUUAUCUACCAAAAUUCUUGGUAUAAUUUAUCGUCAUUGUUCAUUGAUGGAAGAUAUGAUACGUGCUUCAAACACAUACCUAAUGGCUAAUCAGGAAAAUCGAUUGGAAAAACCGAAUCCAAAUUUAAUACUAAAUUGUUGGCAAUUAUUCGAACAGGAAGCAAUGAAAGCAUAUGAUGAUUAUUGUCAUCUAGUAAUUGAUCAUAUGGAAAUGUUGGAUAUUGAAUCCGAAGCAACUUUGAUUAGUAAUGUUUUUGAAAAUAAAUCCGAAGCAGCCACCACAGUUCUUAAUGAUUUAUUCAAACAUUUUCAAAAAAUAUUCGAACUACAAGCACAAGGAAGAUCCGAUGAAGAACGAUUAUUAUUGAUAUCUGCAUGGUAUGCAAUUUGUUUUCAACGUUCCGAUCAUAUUCGUUAUCGAUAUCAUGAUGAACCAUUAUUUGGAAUGCCAUUUUUAGUGCCAGAUGAAAUGAUUAAUCUGAUUAGACAUGUUGAAAAAUCAACUGUUGCCAAUCCAGUUAUAUGCAUUAAGAUUGAAUUUGAACAUAUUGAAUUGACAUGUAUGAUUAUAUUGUUUUGGAUGGCACAAAUGAAUCGUAUAUUUAAACGUGGUGCAUAUCUUGGACAAUUGUUGAAAAUUUUUGAUCGUCAAAAGAAUAAAUGGUAUAGUACUACUGAACAUCAAUUAUUGAAAGGUAUAAUACAGGAACAAUUGAUCAUUAUUGUUGAUCAAUAUCAAGAAAUUGCCAUUGUUGAACCAAAUGAACAGACUCAUCAUCAAGUGGUUGCAUUUCUUUUUGAUCAAUAUCUUUUAUAUCUAAGUCGUUUAUUUAAUCAAUUGGAAUUAUUAAUCGACAAUUCAGAUUUGGAUCAUGUUUUUUUGCUAAAAUAUUCAUUGUUUGCUGUGAAUUUUAUAGAAAAAUUGAAUCGAAUGGAAAAUCCACCAAUGAACGCUGCCAUACUGCGUGAUAAAAUGUUUGAAUAUAAAUUGUUUCUAAAAUUAUUGAUUCGUAAUUUUCGAUUGGAAACACAAACCUGUGAAACGGUGGAAUUUGCCAUAUUAAAUGUUGAUCGAUGUCUAACAAAUGGUUGCCAUAGAAUUGAUUUUAAUCAGAAACAUUGUCUACUUAAACUUCGAUAUAUGGCUGGUAAUAUUACGGAAAUUUUUAUCCACAAAAACAAUGGAAUUUGUAUUCAAUCGUUGAUUCAAUCAAAAGGAAAAAAAAUAGCAACAAAUACAACCAAUACAAAUGAAUGGCGACAACAGCAAACAACACCGAUUGCAAAUAAUUUAACACGUUCAAAUGUUGAUUAUUUUAUUGUCAAAGUUUCUGGAUUUCAAACAUCAAUAUCAUUGUUGAAAUGUUUGCUGGGACAUCCAAAAUUGUAUCCAAACAUAAUGAUUGGUUAUCAAUUUAUUUGAAUCGAAUGUAUUAUUUGUCAUUUCCAAUUCGGCCGAUAGAUGGCGUAAUAUGUAUUUAAUUUUUAAAAUCGAAUGAUGGUCAUCAUUCUUUUUUUUUGUUUUGUAUUUUGUUUAAUAGCCAAAAUCGUUUUAUGUAAAUUUUUUUUUGCUUCAAUCACUUUAUGUCCAAAUGGUAGAUAUUCACUCACACACACACACAAACAUCGAUAAAAUUUAGCAAUAAAAGUUGGUAUAUACAUCAAAAUCGAACCAUACAAGUCGACGACCAUGACCAUCAUCAUCAAACAGUUUUAUGAGCAUGAUGUGUAAAGUGUAAACUAUUUUUCUAUUCUCUAUUUUUCUUUUUUGUUGAAUGGCCUGAAUCGAAUAUAGAGUGAAACAAAUUUGUUUAAUUCAAAAUGAUAGGCCAAUAAGCACGUAUCGGACGAGAGAGCGAGAAAGAGACAGAAAAAACGAACGGACUCGAUCUGAUGAAUGAAUGAAUGAAUGAAAAAAAAACAGUUCAGUACCCAUUGUCAUUAUCAUCAUCAUCAUCAUGGAUGAUGUUUAGCUCUCGACAAUAGUGUAUAAGUAAUAUAUACAAAUUGUAAUUUCAUAUUGGUGAAAACAAAAAAAAAAGAAUAAACGUUAAAACUAUUUUAACUAUUUUGGUUUCGAUGAUGAUGAUGACGAUGAUGACUAUUUC